GUGGGGAAUAUUGGGCAAUGGGCGCAAGCCUGACCCAGCAACGCCGCGUGAGGGAAGAAGGCUUUCGGGUUGUAAACCUCUGUCCUUGGUGACGAAACAAAUGACGGUAGCCAAGGAGGAAGCCCCGGCUAACUACGUGCCAGCAGCCGCGGUAAUACGUAGGGGGCGAGCGUUGUCCGGAAUUACUGGGCGUAAAGGGAGCGUAGGUGGCCUUUUAAGUUGGAUGUGAAAUACUCGGGCUUAACUUGGGGGGUGCAUCCAAAACUGGGAGGCUAGAGUGCAGGAGAGGAAAGCGGAAUUCCUAGUGUAGCGGUGAAAUGCGUAGAUAUUAGGAGGAACACCAGUGGCGAAGGCGGCUUUCUGGACUGUAACUGACACUGAGGCACGAAAGCGUGGGGAGCAAACAGGAUUAGAAACCCCGGUAGUCC
Molecule: ribosomal RNA, 428 nt
Filed under: uncultured bacterium
Lineage: Bacteria
Description: partial 16S ribosomal RNA
Rfam family: Bacterial small subunit ribosomal RNA
Source: RNAcentral